RNAcentral lists this ribosomal RNA (497 nucleotides) under uncultured bacterium. Its description in RNAcentral is "partial 16S ribosomal RNA". It matches the Rfam family "Bacterial small subunit ribosomal RNA", at positions 28 to 507 of the family's 1533-position model. The record is from RNAcentral.
GAUGAACGCUGGCGGCGUGCCUAAUACAUGCAAGUCGAGCGAACGGACGAGAAGCUUGCUUCUCUGAUGUUAGCGGCGGGGGGGUGAGUAACACGUGGAUAACCUCCCUAUAAGACUGGGAUAACUUCGGGAAACCGUAGCUAAUACCGGAUAAUCUUUUGAACCGCAUGGUUCAAUAGUGAAAGACGGUCUUGCUGUCACUUAUAGAUGGAUCCGCGCUGCAUUAGCUAGUUGGUAAGGUAACGGCUUACCAAGGCAACGAUGCAUAGCCGACCGGAGAGGGGGAUCGGCGACACGAGAACUGAGACGCGGUCCAGACUCCUACGGGAGGCAGCAGUAGGGAAUCUGCCGUAGUGGGCGAAAGUCUUACGGAGCAACGCGACGUGAGUGAUGAAGGUCUCCGGUGCGUAAAGCUCUGUUAUGGGGGAAAAACAUAUUUGGAAGGAACUGUGGACAUCUUGACGGUACCGAAUCAGAAAGCCACGGCUAACUACGUG